GGGUCAGUAGGUUGGUCGUGCCACCGGUACGUACUGGUCUCACUGAUUCCUCCUUCCUGAAGAACCGUAAUGCCAUUAAUUUGGUGUUGCGGGGAAUUAGGACUGUUACUUUGAAAAAAUUAGAGUGUUUAAAGCAAGCUAACGCUUGAAUACAUUAGCAUGGAAUAAUGAAAUAGGACGAUCGAUCCUAUUUUGUUGGUUUCUAGGAUUGACGUA
Molecule: ribosomal RNA, 216 nt
Filed under: Glomeromycotina sp.
Lineage: Eukaryota; Fungi; Glomeromycota
Description: partial small subunit ribosomal RNA
Rfam family: Eukaryotic small subunit ribosomal RNA (bases 40-216)
Source: RNAcentral